CCAGCUCCCGGCCACCCGCUUCCUGCAUAAUUUACAGGACAAAGAUAUUGUUUAAAAAAUCGUCCCUGAGAUUACCAACUUGGCUGAUGAAGGAUGCCCUCUGGCUCAGAGAUGUGCUUGUGAGAAAGGAGAGAGGGGACCAAGCGGGCAUGCGGGGAAAAAAGGUCGCUCCGGAGAUGA
Molecule: long non-coding RNA, 180 nt
Organism: Perca fluviatilis (European perch)
Lineage: Eukaryota; Metazoa; Chordata; Actinopteri; Perciformes; Percidae
Exons: 4
Source: RefSeq, a predicted model, not a curated record